AUGCAGUUGGAAUUCUACUGCUUGUGACUGUGUCAGAGUGGAGGGAGAGCUUGUGGGACUGACUCUGUACUCCGGGUGUAAAGUGUCAUGUGGAAUUGAAUUAGAGGACCCCCAGGCUCUGGCAGUGGGGAAUAUCUAGCACAUGGAGACCUGCCCCUGUCAGCAGUGACUGUGUUAAGAAAGAAAUUUCACACUUAGAGCUACAGGCACAGCAUCCUCCUGAGAGAGCCAGGCUGUGAAAUUGAAUCAGACAGAAGAUGAUGCUCCUGAAAGUCUCAGUAAGAAGUGAGCAGUCUAUGGCUACAUGCUGCAAUUUGUGUUUUGAAAUUGUCAUGGUUUUAUGAAUCACACAUGAUAAUGGUGUCGGUGACAGAACUCAGAGUGUCAGCUUCUAAUACU
This is a non-coding RNA of Peromyscus maniculatus bairdii (prairie deer mouse), 399 nucleotides long. Lineage: Eukaryota; Metazoa; Chordata; Mammalia; Rodentia; Cricetidae. The record is from RefSeq and is a predicted model, not a curated record.